GUCUAUGGCCAUGCUACCCUGAACAAGCCUGAUCCCAUCUGAUCUCAGAAGCUAAACAGGGUCGAGCCUGGUUAGUAUUUGCAUGGGAGACCACCUAGGAAGACCAGGUGCUGUAUGUG
This 119-nucleotide ribosomal RNA is filed under the name Pteropus alecto (black flying fox). Lineage: Eukaryota; Metazoa; Chordata; Mammalia; Chiroptera; Pteropodidae. The record is from RNAcentral.